GCAUAAGUGGCCGAGUGGUCUAAGGCGGUAGACUCAAGUUCUACUCUUCGUGAGGAGACGCAGGUUCGAACCCUGUCUUAUGCA
This is a transfer RNA of 84 nucleotides. It matches the Rfam family "tRNA". From Rfam's summary of the family: Transfer RNA (tRNA) molecules are approximately 80 nucleotides in length. Their secondary structure includes four short double-helical elements and three loops (D, anti-codon, and T loops). Further hydrogen bonds mediate the characteristic L-shaped molecular structure. tRNAs have two regions of fundamental functional importance: the anti-codon, which is responsible for specific mRNA codon recognition, and the 3' end, to which the tRNAs corresponding amino acid is attached (by aminoacyl-tRNA synthetases). tRNAs cope with the degeneracy of the genetic code in two manners: having more than one tRNA (with a specific anti-codon) for a particular amino acid; and 'wobble' base-pairing, i.e. permitting non-standard base-pairing at the 3rd anti-codon position. The record is from Rfam.